AAGCUUUCGUAUUUAUGUGCUGCAUGUAUUAUUCAGAAGGAAGAUGAUUCCAAGUCAUGUUAUUUCCAAGGAAGCAACAAUAACUUCACUGGACCCCUGCUGAUCUUAAAGUGCAGCAUGAAAAACAGUCUUGGAGACUUCUAGAGAUGUCCGAAGUAUGCCUACGGGGAGCAAUAGGGAUACCAGGAGAAUCUGAUGAAUCUGAACAUUGAAUCUGACCCUUCUGAGAGGACACCACACCACUAAAGGAAUCAAACAGAAGAUACAAAAUUUCUGCUCUCAGUUCUCUUCGUUGUAUAGUCAUUGCUGCUUCCGGUGAGCUUCAACUGUGGUGAAGAAAGACACCCACAUACCUAACAACAACAUAAGAGAGAAAGAAAAAAAUACAUUUAGCAAAGGUACAAGCAACAUGUUACAUGAUCACUGAGGAAGAAGCAGAUGUGUUAAAGUGUAAAAAGGAAGCUGUGAAAGAGAUAUCAAAAAUAGGAGGAAGAGAGAGAGAGAAAAUGAAAGAAGAUGUGUAAUCCUGGGCUGUAGCUACAUGGCCUCGGAUGUGGUGAACUGCAGACAGAGCAGUGUGGCAGCUGAAUGACAAACACAGCAAAUUGGAACAACAUAAACCCUCCAUAACUUUAACAUCAUAGCUGAUUAAGUUUUCUGGCAUGUACAAUGCAUCCACUGUGAGAAAUUCUGUAUCUCAGACAUGACUCACUGUUUAGCAUGUUUAUACCAUUAGGAAAUACUAAAGAUGUUUCCUCAAGCGUAUGAUUGUAUUAUAAGAGCACAUGUAAGAGCACUUAUUUUGAUAGUAAAGAGUGGCUACCAGUAGCUUGGGUUUGCCACAAGAAUCUCUAUAUUCAAUCUUUAAAAUAAGUGAUUAUAAAAUAAAUAUCUAGCAGUGAAAAAAGAAUUAACUACCCUAAGAAGACUAUCUGUAAGGGUCACAGGCUCUUGGUCUGGUUGAUGUCAAGCAGUACACACAAGAGCAAGACUAUGCAUUUUGCAUAAUCACUAGACAUAACAGAGUGAGUAGAAUAUAUGAUAAUUUGGCUCUAAAAGAAGAGAUUUAUCAACAUUUUUGGAAUCAGCAACUUUGAAAUUAUGGGAAAUGAGGAGAAUAUAAAAAGACAUGAGUAAACAGAAUGCCUAGUAAUUUGAGAAGAAAUUGAAAGAGCAAAUUAGAAUAUUGCAAAACAAACACAGCAGCCCUAAAGGGAAGUCCCCAAAACAAAAACUUUGUUCCAUCCUAGAUAAAGAUAGCAAAGGAUUUCUAGGAAUGGGAUUGCCAUGUCUUAGAAUGUGUGCUUCACUUCAUAAGAAACUGAUGGACUUGUACCUGUAAUCUCAUCACUUUGGGAGGCUAAGGCAGGGGAAUUGCUUCAGCCCAGGAGUUCAAGACCAGCCUAGGCAACAUUGUGAAAUCCCAUCUACACACACACACACACACACACACACACAGACAAUUAGCCAGGCAUGGUUGCACACACCUAUAGUCCCAGCUACUCCGGCAGAACGCUAAGGUGGGAGGAUCACCUGAGCCAGGGAGGUCGAGGUUGCAGUGAGCAGUGAUUGUGCCACAACACUCCAGCCUGGGUGACAGAGGAAGACCCUAUCUCAAAAACAAAACAGAAUGAAACAAAAAACUGAAACUGUUUUCUAAAGUGGCUGAACCAUUCUGUACCCCUACUAGCUAUGUAUGAGAGCUCUGUUCAUUCUGUAUCUUCACAGUGCU
RNAcentral lists this long non-coding RNA (1732 nucleotides) under Gorilla gorilla gorilla (western lowland gorilla). RNAcentral's name for it is "lncRNA (ENSGGOG00000044316.1)". Lineage: Eukaryota; Metazoa; Chordata; Mammalia; Primates; Hominidae. The record is from RNAcentral.